GGGGACGUAAUGGUUUCGACAGGGGUGCGUGUGGUAUAGAUAGCGAGUCGGCGUUCCAUGAGGCCGUUAAACGGUGGGAAAACAUUUAAACGCAGAAGAAAAUUUUGCAUUAGCUGCAUAAGCUACGUUCAUCUCUCUCUCGCCCGUGGAGAGGGAAUGAACGUCAAACAACGGGCUGGCUUAAUUUAGUUGUUCAUAUAAAUUAGGCGAGACUUUAUGAACUGGAGUUCUGUAGUUUGUCGGUGAGCGAUAGGAACUUGAGAUCUUAAAUCAUUGACUGCACUCGGAGAGAUUUAUAUGGCAACACUUUUGGACAGGGGUUCGACUCCCCUCGUCUCCACCA
This 343-nucleotide transfer-messenger RNA is filed under the name Negativicutes bacterium. It matches the Rfam family "transfer-messenger RNA". From Rfam's summary of the family: Bacterial tmRNA, also known as 10Sa RNA or SsrA, is named for its dual tRNA and mRNA-like properties. Its role is to liberate the mRNA from a stalled ribosome. To accomplish this part of the tmRNA is used as a reading frame that ends in a translation stop signal. Lineage: Bacteria; Bacillati; Bacillota; Negativicutes. RNAcentral also lists the same sequence under 1 other name. The record is from RNAcentral.